AUGAAGGAGCUAGGUCUUCGGGAGGAGGAUCUCGACGACGUGAUUUUUGAUGAGAAGGAGGCUCCGGUCGAGGCGGCGCGUUGGAUUGCGUUGGCUAGGGUUCACUCGCCAAAGACAUACAGCCAGUAUUGGUUCUUCAAAAACAUGAGAGCCGCUUGGGAUCUUGCCCAAGAAGUUCAGUUUAAGCCCCUGGAGGAUAAUCUCUAUACAGUGCAGUUCUCCUGCUUGGGGGAUUGGGAA
Molecule: ribosomal RNA, 240 nt
Filed under: Triticum aestivum (bread wheat)
Lineage: Eukaryota; Viridiplantae; Streptophyta; Magnoliopsida; Poales; Poaceae
Description: partial small subunit ribosomal RNA
Source: RNAcentral